This 1724-nucleotide ribosomal RNA is filed under the name Escherichia coli. Its description in RNAcentral is "partial 23S ribosomal RNA". It matches the Rfam family "Bacterial large subunit ribosomal RNA", at positions 1224 to 2925 of the family's 2925-position model. Lineage: Bacteria; Pseudomonadati; Pseudomonadota; Gammaproteobacteria; Enterobacterales; Enterobacteriaceae. The record is from RNAcentral.
UUGGGUAGGGGAGCGUUCUGUAAGCCUGUGAAGGUGGCCUGUGAGGGUUGCUGGAGGUAUCAGAAGUGCGAAUGCUGACAUAAGUAACGAUAAAGCGGGUGAAAAGCCCGCUCGCCGGAAGACCAAGGGUUCCUGUCCAACGUUAAUCGGGGCAGGGUGAGUCGACCCCUAAGGCGAGGCCGAAAGGCGUAGUCGAUGGGAAACAGGUUAAUAUUCCUGUACUUGGUGUUACUGCGAAGGGGGGACGGAGAAGGCUAUGUUGGCCGGGCGACGGUUGUCCCGGUUUAAGCGUGUAGGCUGGUUUUCCAGGCAAAUCCGGAAAACCAAGGCUGAGGCGUGAUGACGAGGCACUACGGUGCUGAAGCGACAAAUGCCCUGCUUCCAGGAAAAGCCUCUAAGCAUCAGGUAACAUCAAAUCGUACCCCAAACCGACACAGGUGGUCAGGUAGAGAAUACCAAGGCGCUUGAGAGAACUCGGGUGAAGGAACUAGGCAAAAUGGUGCCGUAACUUCGGGAGAAGGCACGCUGAUAUGUAGGUGAAGCGACUAGCUCGUGGAGCUGAAAUCAGUCGAAGAUACCAGCUGGCUGCAACUGUUUAUUAAAAACACAGCACUGUGCAAACACGAAAGUGGACGUAUACGGUGUGACGCCUGCCCGGUGCCGGAAGGUUAAUUGAUGGGGUUAGCGGUAACGCGAAGCUCUUGAUCGAAGCCCCGGUAAACGGCGGCCGUAACUAUAACGGUCCUAAGGUAGCGAAAUUCCUUGUCGGGUAAGUUCCGACCUGCACGAAUGGCGUAAUGAUGGCCAGGCUGUCUCCACCCGAGACUCAGUGAAAUUGAACUCGCUGUGAAGAUGCAGUGUACCCGCGGCAAGACGGAAAGACCCCGUGAACCUUUACUAUAGCUUGACACUGAACAUUGAGCCUUGAUGUGUAGGAUAGGUGGGAGGCUUUGAAGUGUGGACGCCAGUCUGCAUGGAGCCGACCUUGAAAUACCACCCUUUAAUGUUUGAUGUUCUAACGUUGGCCCGUAAUCCGGGUUGCGGACAGUGUCUGGUGGGUAGUUUGACUGGGGCGGUCUCCUCCUAAAGAGUAACGGAGGAGCACGAAGGUUGGCUAAUCCUGGUCGGACAUCAGGAGGUUAGUGCAAUGGCAUAAGCCAGCUUGACUGCGAGCGUGACGGCGCGAGCAGGUGCGAAAGCAGGUCAUAGUGAUCCGGUGGUUCUGAAUGGAAGGGCCAUCGCUCAACGGAUAAAAGGUACUCCGGGGAUAACAGGCUGAUACCGCCCAAGAGUUCAUAUCGACGGCGGUGUUUGGCACCUCGAUGUCGGCUCAUCACAUCCUGGGGCUGAAGUAGGUCCCAAGGGUAUGGCUGUUCGCCAUUUAAAGUGGUACGCGAGCUGGGUUUAGAACGUCGUGAGACAGUUCGGUCCCUAUCUGCCGUGGGCGCUGGAGAACUGAGGGGGGCUGCUCCUAGUACGAGAGGACCGGAGUGGACGCAUCACUGGUGUUCGGGUUGUCAUGCCAAUGGCACUGCCCGGUAGCUAAAUGCGGAAGAGAUAAGUGCUGAAAGCAUCUAAGCACGAAACUUGCCCCGAGAUGAGUUCUCCCUGAGACUUAGAGUCUCCUGAAGGAACGUUGAAGACGACGACGUUGAUAGGCCGGGUGUGUAAGCGCAGCGAUGCGUUGAGCUAACCGGUACUAAUGAACCGUGAGGCUUAACCUU